UACGGAGGGUGCAAGCGUUAUCCGGAUUUACUGGGUUUAAAGGGUGUGUAGGCGGACUUUUAAGUCAGCGGUGAAAUCUCCGGGCUCAACCCGGAAACUGCCAUUGAUACUAUUGGUCUUGAAUGUUGUUGAGGUGGGCGGAACGGGUCAUGUAGUGGUGAAAUGCAUAGAUAUGACCCGGAACACCGAUGGCGUAGGCAGCCCACUAAGCAACGAUUGACGCUGAGGCACGAAAGCGUGGGGAGCGAACAGG
RNAcentral lists this ribosomal RNA (253 nucleotides) under uncultured bacterium. RNAcentral's name for it is "partial 16S ribosomal RNA". It matches the Rfam family "Bacterial small subunit ribosomal RNA", at positions 524 to 776 of the family's 1533-position model. The record is from RNAcentral.